Macrobrachium nipponense is the source of this 2884-nucleotide long non-coding RNA. RefSeq lists it as uncharacterized. The transcript has 2 exons. The record is from RefSeq and is a predicted model, not a curated record. NCBI's taxonomy places the organism in Eukaryota, Metazoa, Arthropoda, Malacostraca, Decapoda, Palaemonidae.
GCUCUACGGUAAUUAGAAAUAGCAGUGAAAAGCAAGAUUAGAUCAUGGAAUUAGUACAUCAUCUAUAUCAGCAAUACCCCUAUCAGGAAAAUAAAUAAAUAUAUAAUUCAUGAAUGUAUACAUUAAGUCAAAGUAUUCUAUUCAUUCAAUUAACUGUUCACUCACUUAACUGUGCAUUUGCACACACACUUUUUCUCAAUUUUAUUUUUAUUGAGAAUAACAGCAAAUGACAAAUUCUUUGUGAAAAAAAAAAUUUUGUGGGGAGGUGAGCAACUGCAAAGUAAGGGUAUAGUUUACCUUAACCUGUUAAGUGUCACAACUAAAAAUACGUUUACUGCGAUCUACUCGGUAGCGCCUUCAACGAGAUAUUACGUUCAAGACUUUAACUGUGCUUGCCAAGCCGUCAGUCCCGUAAUAAUACGUUUACUCGUAUAGAAAGUGUAGGAACAUCAUUUGGUAACACUCUCAGCACACGGGAAACUUAUUUCCAGCCUGGCAACUCUUUCCUGGUGGUCGCUUAUGCUAGAAAACUGCCUGGUCCUGCUGGUUUUCUUUCAGUACGCUUCGGGCGUUUAUUGAGACACAUAAAUUUUCGCGUCCUUCACAAUGAAUUUCCCAAAGAGGAGGCGUAUUUCUUCAGGUGAGAUCAAUCAAAUACUAGAUGAGGAGUCUGAUAUUGAUGACCUAUUUGAUGAUGAGAGCUCUAGUUCUGAAUCCUCCAGUGAUGAGGAUACAAACUUUUCUUCCAAUAGCAGGAGUGAAGAUGACUUUUCUUUGCCGAGUGACUGGACUCCGAGAGAGAGAGAGAGAUCCCGGCGUGAAAUUUACAGUUGAGGAUAAAGAGAACCCAUUAGAAUAUUUUGAGAAAUAUUCUGAUGAUGAAAUCAUUGAUUACCUCAUGAAAGAAACAAACAGAUUUGCAAAUCAGUUUCUAGAUGAGAAUGUAGAACAUUUGUCUCUACAAUCACGAGUACAUAGAUGGUUUGACACUGUGAAGUAGGAUUGUGUGUAGCCCCUUGAUUUAGAGAUUGGCACACGAAAGAAUAAUAGUACAUGUAUGUAUAAUAUUUUUUUAAUUCAGUACGUAUUAUGAAGUCUUUUGAAAUAAAAUAAUUGUAGUAUUAAUUUUUUUUUUACUCCAACAUUUGAUAAUUUCCUACACUUAACUACAGUAUGAAUAAUAAGCAUAAAAAUCAAUAUUAAUUUUGAAAAACUAUCAUCAGUGCUAUGAUCGCUAACUACAAAAAAAGCGUGACGGUACGUUAGCAGCGAGCUCAUCCGGGGGGAACACUUAACAGGUUAAGUGUAAUGACUGUAUUACAAAAUACAAACUUAUCAAUAGAGAAACAAUGUAGAUUUGAUAAAAGGAAAAUGUACAUAUAUGAAUAAAUAAUGUAACUCCCCAGAAACUGUGAUGAUUUUUGCUUUUAAGUAUGAAGGAACUGAAAGUCAGUUUUGUAGUUUGAAAUAUAUUGUUAAGGUGGGUACACACGUGAGAGCCAAACCUUGUAUGUGUAACUGAGUUAUGCAUAUACGGUUACAGGGUGUCAAAAUGUUGAGGACGAAUCGUAACCACGUUAAGCACGUAACUUCAUUUCAAUCCAAUGCGAUCAUCAAUCUGUCUCUGUCCGGGUUGUUUACCGACGAUGGCCACCAUACAAGUAGCAGCUGCCGCAUAUAUUUAUACACAUUAUUUAACGAAGAUGAAGCGAAAUAAAAGAAGAUGGUGGCAAUCAAGGUUAUAUACUAGAAGGGUAGAAUACAGUGGUCGGGAAUUACUCGCUGACAUGGGAUUCCAAGAAUUUUCUGGCCACAGUAAAGUCUGUUCUUCGUAAUAACUAAUAAAUUGAAGGACCUCUUCCUCACUACAAUCAGCCAUGGUAGACAUAUACGUACUGACUGACCAAAACAAGGAACUCUACUAUGGACGGCCUUGUUCAUAGUCUGUGUUAACAAGUUCAGCAACCUCUGUUGUUACGCGUGUAAUACAGGUCCCGUCCACACAUGGCGUAACGUUCAAAGAGACCUCCCUUUGAUUCGGGGCCCAAAAACCGACAAUUGCCGGGACAGAGGGCAAACGGAGCCUCGAACCUCGUGGGUUCGGGGUUCGGGUUCGAGGAACCGUCCACACUUGCGUUUUUGUUAAAAGAAUCGGUUACAAUACAAGGUUCGGUUCGCACGUGUGUACCCACCUUUAGGUUAUAAAGAACUUUAAAUUACUUCUCUUAGUAAUUCCUAAUUAUUUUUCAGAUGGAAAGAAAAAGUUGAUACACGUUCCAUGAAACUUAGAGUCAUAGCACACAUGAUUCAACGAUUGAUAACCUCAAGUGGGUUACCAUGGGCUGCAGACAACUAUUUUUUGAAGAUAAUGUUGGUAUGUGACCAUGUACUGCUAAAGGGACCAGAUGGCUCAUUCAAGCAUAUUGUGAGACAUAUUGCCCGGGCCCGAAAUGAAAAAGAAGGUGGAAAUAAACACGUUGAAGUGGCUUAUGAAGAAAGUUUGGAUGAAGAACAAGACACUGAAAUUGUAGACUACGUUACAAAUAUACCUGCAGCACUACCUUUUAAGCUCUGAAAAACAAAUUCUUUUAAUUUCUUUACAACUCUUAAAAACAAAUUCUUUAAUUUCUUUACAACUCUGAAAAACAAUGAGUCUAAUUUCUUUAAGCUUGAAAAACAAUUAGUUUAAUUUCUAUAAGCUCUGAAAAACAAAUUCUUUAAUCUCUUUUCAACUCUGAAAAACAAAUUCUUUAAUUUCUUUACAACUCCGAAAAACAAAUUGUCUUUAAUUUCUGUAAAUAAGUUUACGAUAAGCUGCUGGUAAAAGAGGAUUUUAUUUUAAUAUGUAAUUGGGUCAAACAAGAAAAUAAAUGUUUAACAUGAA